GUUUUCAUUUUCAAUCGAUUUGGUGCACCUCUGAAUUGAGAGAACGAGAAAAAGUCAAACAAAUCACUGCAUCAGGUGGAGGUGUAUUUUGGACGAGGGCUUGGAACAAUCUAUUAUUCGGGUGAUAGCAGUCUCGGGGAUUGAGGAGGCGAUGAUAAUGAUACAGCCCCCUUCAAUCGACCAUUCGCGAUCAUGAUUCGUUGGGCGGAUGAGGCGACUGAUAAAAUUAUAACGAGUGACAACUCCAUCCUUAAUAACAACGACACUGUCGACGACAGACUAUUAUCACUGAGCUGCAAUGUCGACGAUAAUGGUGAAAAUGAAGACGCUGAGGGUAUUACAUUCACCUCGUGCCUGAUCAGCAUCGCUGGGGGAAUAAGGGGGUUCGAGUAUCCGGUGAUUUACGCGAAUGAUAGAAACUCAGUCGAUGGCUGGAGGAUUAAUGAUUUAUUUCAAUGCUGUUGCGGUGUUGAGAGAUGCUGGGGAAGGUGUGAGUGUGUAACGUGGGCUCUCAAGGAUAUUCAGUUCGUUUGUAAUCGGUGUUGGUCACUUGGUGGCGGAUGACUUCGUCAGGUACAGAUGGCAUUGUAGUAUUAGACUUUUAUCUAGUUGAUAUACCAGUUGGGGGACUUAGAUUGUCGUCGCUGACGCGUCGUAGACGGAGACGGUGGUGCACUUUGUUAACUGUGAUUACACGUACGAUUGUUUUACCGUGAUGGCGGACCUACCUGAUAUGUCCCAUCUUACACCGGAGGAGAGGAGGAUCAUCGAGGGGGUUAUGAUGCGGCAGAAGCAGGAGGAAGAGCAUGAGAAUGAGAUCAUGAGGCGAAAGCAGGAUGAGGUUCAGAUACUCGAGGAUACAAUCCGUGCGCGCUCCGAGAAGCACAAGAAAGCGGGCAUCGAGUUGGACGAUACAUGCCACAUAUGCAUGAAAACCAAGUUUGCGGACGGCGUUGGUCAUAUCUGCAACUACUGCAACAUACGGUGCUGUGCCCGUUGCGGUGGCAAAGUCACCCUCAGAUCGAACAAGGUGAUAUGGGUAUGCAUCCUGUGUCGUAAGAAACAAGAGCUCCUCUCGAAAACGGGUCAAUGGAUGGUUAAGUCGGGCCUGGGCGCUGCGGACCAAGCGAUGCUCAGGCGAAUGCAGGAGGAUAUGCAGGGCACCCCGGGCCUCACCGACUUGACCCAGGACAAGAGACCAAAGCUUGAACGUGCUCGCAGUGCCGCCGAGAAGGAGAAUCUACCGCUACUCCAGAGCAGUGGAAGUCUACUCAGACGUCAGUACUCCCAACAGGAACAGAUGCCACCGCGGAGAAUGUCCACCAGCGACAGUGGGGUGGAGAUGUCCGUGUCGCCGCACUCCAGAAGCCUACCGACUCCUCACGUUGUCGUUGGUUCCUAUCCACAACAAACGCCGAGACAUCCCGCUGCCUUUCCCGAGGAUGAUCCCAAUCUUUAUCGGGGUGAAUUGGAUGGUCUCAUGAGGAAACAUGCACAGACUUAUCAGAGAACGAGACAAAUUUAUAAAGAAAACUCGGAUAUUUCAAUGGGCUACCCUCACCCGGGAGUAGACUCGUCUCGAGUUCACCUGAGUCAGCAGCACUCAGUGUAUCCAGUACAAGUUGGUCAUCCCUCCCAGCCGCCAUCGGGUAGCGUUCCUGGUUCCCUCCACCAACAGCGGAGUUUCAGUAGCAGUGAGGAGGAGCGCAGUACCCCCGAGUGCGCGAGUGACGAGCCAGACGAGUCCGAGAAGGGGAAGGGGUACUAUCAUCACGGGGGAGGCACAUCUUCGAUGUCCGGCGGUUCUCGUAGACACGGAUCUCACAAUGGACAUCAUGUUACUGGCUCCAUGGCCAUUGAGUACAAUGGCCAUCACCCACCGCGAGAGCCUCGAAAAGAGGAGAGUACCCUCGUGAGGAGGAGCUUCCGAAGAAGCGGCGACGAGUGGCGCGCCGACAGUCGGAGGUUCACUGAGAGGAGGGGGAAAAAGACAGUGAGAUUCGACGGUGGGACCAAUGUAGCUGGCUCACAGGAGGACUGGUCUUGGGAGGCGGAUCGUCAAGGUAGCCAAGACAGCGCAACCAAAGACUCAGGAAUAGAUACAUCAAGUACAUUCACAAGCAGUGAAGACAGCAAUCGUGGUGAUUUACCAAAGCAACCGUUGUCGUGGCAGGGGAGUAGUGAUGGGCAGAAGACAAUUGGCCACAUGAUCCUGAGGAAGUCAGCGUCCGGGAGCAGUAGUAUCCUCGGGCUCAAGGUUGUGGGAGGAAAGCUACUGGAUGACGAUAGAGUUGGGGCACUCAUCGAGAAGGUGAAGAAGGGGAGUGCCGCCGAUGUCGAGGGACAGUUGAGGCCAGGGGACGAGGUGAUCGAGUGGAACGGCCACUGCCUCCAAGGUAAAUCAUUUCAAGAAGUUUACGACAUAAUAGCAGCAUCGAGGGACGAAUCCCAGGUAGAAUUAUUCGUCUCGAGAAGUCUCUCCGGCCCAGCAAGUACACCAAUGAUGACCGGCAUGCCCACCACCAUAAUGCCAAUGACAUCUCGUCGCAUAACAGCGCAGACUCAGUGGAGACAGAAGCACGAGCCCAUGCCAGUGCCCCACCAGCCUCACCACAAAGAGCUUUAUGAUGUGAGGAGAGAUAAACCAUCGGUGCUGGUGACUUCUCCUGGCUCGCCAGAUCUCAAUGCACAGGGCAGGGCUAGACAUCAGCGGCAUCCAACGGGCGAUCCUAAUGUGGGGGGACGACUGCAACUGCAUCUGAGAUAUGAUUAUAAUCGUUGUGAGCUUAAUGUUGACGUUAUUUGCGCCAGCGAUCUGCAGAAGAGGGUCAAUGGACAGUUGAGGCAUGCUUAUGCGAGGAUCUAUCUGCUUCCGGACAAAAGUGAAGGAACGAAGAGAAGAACGAAAACAGUGGCGAACACGAAUGCCCCUCAGUGGAACGAGACAUUUGUCUACAACGUGAGAAAGUUCUCGGAGCUCAAGUACAAAUCGUUGGAGGUUACUGUUUGGGAUAACGUCAGGUACGGGGCAAAUGACUUUCUCGGUGAAGCGAUUGUCGAGCUCGCUUACCUCCCCGAGACACCACAGUGGCACUACUUGCUUGCCCACGACGACAGACGUCACAUCGGGCAGUACCAGGAGCCGUCCGACGACAUCGCGAUAACCCCGGUUGACUGUCACCUGAGCCCACCGUCGACGACGUCCAGAUUGAGCGACUCGGACACGUCCGAGUACGACAUUACGGACGGUGACGUAUCCCAGCAGAGGAGAGGAGCCGAUGGGGCUAGCAUCAGCAGCAUCGGCAGCUCAUCGAGGUUUCAUAAUAUGCCGUCAAAUUAUAAGCGCCACUAUUCCAGCCCGCCACCUGAGAGGGAUCUUUGUAUGGACAGUGAGCAUCGGAGCCGGAGGGAUAUGUCACCCCAGGGGAGAAAGAGAGCCGCAUUAAUGAUAUCGAGGGAACAACCAGUCUCCAUGUCCAUGUCUUAUUCACCGUAUAGAAAGGACGAAGCGCCGCGCAGUAUGAUGGGUCACAGAUCCCAGAGCGCUGCCCCCAUGGACUCGCCGAACCUUCACUACCGGGGUAGAUCGCAGAGUCCCACUGGUCAUCGUUCACUAUCACCACCAGAGCAGAGAUCCAUCCCUUAUUCCCAUGGCUACAUGCCAGCCAGAUUUGGAUCGCGAUCAGCUACUGCCACGCCCACUGGAUCACCCAAAAAACGACAAUUGCCACAGAUACCUGCUAAAUUGCAUGCAGCAUUGAAGGAGAGAGUUGCGCAGGAUCUCGAGGAGAGAGCGAGACUGAUGAGGCACAGGAACAGACAGAUGCAUACGACGUACAGGAGCACGGGAAUGGGAGGAUGGGAAAGACAUUACAGUGGGCUAUCAGACUCUGAUCUCCUGUCAAUAGGCCACGAGCCCCAAUCCCUAAUGCACGGUCACAGAGUGCCCAGAGUAAGAAGAGGACACCUGAGUCCCGACAAAGAUGUUCUCGGUGAUUUUGGUGAUUCUGAUAUGGAGAGUAUUGCAUCAGUGGCGAGCAGUACAUUCAGCACGCAGUCGGAGCGGCCGCGUGGCUCUAGAACCUUCAUACCGACAGUUAAAAACGUAUUGAUACCCAGUGUCAUAUCCCCAUUGACCCAAACCCCUAGACGCAAUAGGCGUAGGCACAAAAUUAGGGUACCCAGCAGUGAAUGCCAUUGCCAAUUAAACUGCAACAGUUGUCCUACUAAGACCUGUAUAAACCCAAACAAGCAUCAUAAUAAUCCCACCUCCUACCAUCAACCCCUCGUACGGAGCAAAUCCGCAGUCGUUCGCUCGAUGCACAGAAAGAUGCGUGUGCCACUUGCAAGAUCCAAGACAUUUGAUGACAAUCUCGUGAGAUGGAGCAGUCCUGAGUCGAGUGAGCCGAGUUGCACGAUGAAUUACAUGAAUUUUAAGAAGAAAGGAUCACUCAUACCUGAGAUACACGUUGAAGAAUGUGUCAAUCAUCCGGAGGACACGGCGAGUUUAGACAGAAAGUUUCUGAGAACCCGAUUGAAACAUCGUGAUUUUGGAAAUUAUCAGAAGCGAUCGCUCAUGGAGAUGAGAGCAAGAAGUUUUGACUACAACGUUGCUGACGAUUCGUUUGUCGAUGGGCACGAUAGAAUCGACAUGGAGUACCCGAGACGCGCCAAAAGUGUUGAUUACGAGGCUGUAUCGAAUAUAUUCAGCGACGACAGCUUGCGAACAGCGAGGAGGAAAGUCAAGAAGAAUUUGUCGAACAGUGGAGAACACCUUCCAUCUAUGAAUGAUCGCAGCAAGUCUUACUACGACUCGAAUGGCUCCAGCUCCAUCCAGACCUCGGAGACGGCAGACCACGAGGAGGAUCACGAGAAGAAGUUCUAUCACGAUACCGAUCUCUACCCCUCCAAGUUGGAGUCUGCGUUUGAGAAUAGACUGUCAUCCAUGGGGCUCGAUUGCCGUAGCUUCUCAGACGACGCCUAUCGCAAUGUCAUCGCGCGUCAAGAGAAUAAGCAGAAAUACGAGGCUCACCUGGCUGAGAUAAGCCUAAAGUCCAAUCGUAGUCAGUCACCAAAUAGCAAGGCAAAGAGUCUAGAGGAACACCUCUACGAUCUCUUGGAGAGUGACCACAUCUACUGCAGCAUCGACGACAACAACACAGAUCCCUGUCCCUGCUUGAUUGAUCCUCUUGACUGUAAUUUCGAUGUCGUAGAUACUUCAACAAGUAGAACAAGUAAUUUUGAUAAUUCCGUCCCUCGACGACGAACGAGUCAAUUGGAUUCUGAGGAGUACAAUCCCAGAAGGUCCUUGCGUCGUCGAACUAAAAGUACAGACUCAUACUUGGAGGACAAUUACGAUGAGUGCAAGAAUUCAAGUGUUGAUUAUUUGUACUCGGAGAACGACAAGUCCCAAUCUGGGAUGUCUCGUCAGUCGGAAAUUCACGACGAUUACCGGGGCAGAAGUAGUAGUUUCCCAGGGAGGUUUGACUACUCAACUUGCGAUCCAUCCGCUAAUUACUCGAGCAAUGAAUCAAGUCCUCCAGGCCGGAGAAGACGGAGAAGCACGAGAGAUUUGCAACAGUCCCUGGACUACGAUUCCCAUUCUCACGCAUAUCGAAGAGCACGAAUGAGCAGUUUAGAAGUGCCGAGUUUCUCGCAGAGCAAGCGUAUGAUGCUGGAGCGUGCAGAGUCAACUCCUACUCUUGUACCAGACGACGAGGAGAUCGAGGACGCUUGGGAGCGCGCCAGACGGCUGUCAAGAAGACGUCGAAACAGCAGUUGCCCGGAGGCAAGAGAUAUGAGAAAUCUCGAGAGUCCUGGCAGAGAACAACCAGAGUCACCAAGCUUUUUCAUGGGCUCUGACGAUGAUUUUGGCUCGGUUGAAACUGUAGUAUCCCCAGAUUACCGUAAUAAUUCCAAGGACGAGGUUGAUAAACGACCACGUGGAUUCCGUCCAAGGUAUUCGUCCAAGGACUACGUUGACUUUAAAAUACAAAUGCGUACGGACAGAUCAAGCUCAUACCCUGGCCCCGUUAGAUUCGACAACGACGACAUUGACUACAAGAAUCGCAAGACGAGUUGUCCAGAGUGUCGUGACUUUUUCCAGCCUUUACAAAGCGAGAGAGGAGACUCAUCCCAUCAACACCAAGAUGACUCAAAUGCAUCGCCAGAGUACGAAAAGCAUCGACCCCUUGCUUACCAGAAACAAGAGCGCGAAAAGCAUCUCCGUAAAGUUGAAUCGGAGAAGGAUCAGGGAGGCAAGAGAAAUGUCGCUAUAAGCGACACCCUAGAAUAUUACGAAUACUCAAUGGAAAGUGAGAGCCAGUGCAGCGAGAACUGCGGAUUUGGCCCGUACGAUACACUUAGGCCCCGUAACCGAGCACCCCGACCCGGUAAAGCUAAUUCAAAUAUCUUUGAUUCCCAAACCGCCACCUCCGACACUGCUAAAAACCCACGGGCCAACGUACACGAUACUACCCAAUCGUCACAUCACGUUAAACGUGAAAAUGAACAACGUCGGAUGCACGACGACACCGUGACAACUGAAAUGCACUCGACUACGUCGAAAUCUGAUGGCAAUUCCGGUGCUAAUGACAAUUCCACGAUCGAUAAAUCACGCACUAGUGGCAGUGAUUAUGCCAGUCCCAGCAGUUCGUAUGAGAAAACUUCAUCGAGACAUCAAGUUCCUGGAGAUGGGCACAAUGGGCUUGCUAAGAGGGGACAGUUCACCAGGAGUUUGAGUAAUGCUGAUGCACCGCCUGAUGAGAAAGUUGCGGACGGAAGCUUGAGUGAUACAGCAGUCGGUCUUCAUGUCGAGGAGGCAACUAGAAGAGGAAGAAAAAGUUCACCGGGCAGUAAGAGCGGAAGUGGCAGCAGCAGCGGUGGAGGCAGUGCUGUGCAGUAUCAGAGCGGUCUCUCGAAAAAGAGCAGCAGCACGAGCCAACUGUCAGCGACAGAGUGCGGUGUGGUUGGAAGCGGUACGGAAACAAGGUCCUCCGGUGUAGCUAGCCGAAAAAGGAACAGCACACCAAGCAGCUUUCAACGAUCCCAGGAGGUCGUACCCUCUUAUCAGCGACUCGGUGCAACCAGACAGGGUGGCUCGGUAGCAAGUGACACAGCUGGAUCCCUCAACUCAAUCUCUAGUUCUGAAGCAAGCUCUUGGUCACCGUGCAUGAGAACAGCAGCUGAGGGCGGUCAGCUAAGUGAGUUUAUUGAUGGACUUGGACCGGGUCAGUUGGUUGGUAGACAGGUGCUGGGGGCUUCUUCACUCGGUGAUAUUCAGUUAUCACUGAAAUACCAAAAGGGGGUGCUGGAUGUCGAGGUCAUACGGGCAAGGGAUUUGCAGGUGAAACCAGGCUUCAAAGUGCUACCAGCUCCUUACGUAAAGGUUUAUCUAGUCAAUGGGAAAAAGUGUAUAGAAAAGGCGAAAACUACGACGGCCGCGAGGAAAACGUUGGAACCUUUCUACCAACAAACUCUAACAUUCAGGGAAAACUUUCAGGGGUGCUAUUUACAGGUAACGGUAUGGGGUGACUAUGGCCGAAUAGAGGGGAAAAAAGUUUUCAUGGGUGUUGCACAGAUAGCGCUGGACCAUCUUAACCUGAGUGAGGAGGUGUUCGGAUGGUACAAACUCUUCGGCAGCACGUCCCUGGUCAGUGGUCCUCCAUCCUUAGCAUUAUCGCGUCGCUCCUCGGCCGCCUCUCUGGACUCUCUCAAAUUAUGAAAGCUAAUCGAGAUUCCCAAACUAAUCAGAAAUUAACUGCCCCAAAGCAACGAUUACAAAAUUCAGAAAGAGCAAACAACGCAAUCGAUAUCAGAUUCACUGUUUUCGUGUAUUGAAGAAUUUUAUCGUUAAAGAUACAUAUAUUCGAACGGAUAUGUAACGUUACGAAGAGCAUUAUUCGGAUGUGAACGUGCACGUCAUAUCUGAUGAUUUCAUGCUCAAAAUGAUUGAGCACACUCGCCGAAUGUGGAAUUUAGGUCGCUUGUUGUUAGAGAUUAAGACCCCAAAAGUCAUUAAUUGACGUUCUGACGGAGUUUGAAUGUUUUUUAAGGGAGUAAUUAUUAACUUGCCAUUUCUUUUGAAAAGAAAGAUUAAAGGAUUGUUAUGAUCUGCGCGUGAUUGACGGCUCUGAAUACGGUAAUCCACGUGUAGUGUACGACAUUCAUGAACAAAUUAUAAGGAGCAAUUCUUCGCGGCCAGAGGAGUGCAAAUGUGAAGGAUAUUUUUUGCAAUAACAGAGAUUAUAAAGAUAUUUAAAAGAAAAACGUACCACUUAAAGCACAUCACAUAUCAUGUCAGAUGAACUAGUCUUUAGGUAGACUAGCUGUAGACGUAGCGGCCAUGUAACCGGAUCGCCAGAUAGCUUUAGUGAAAUCAAUGGAGCUCGAGUGAACGUCAUGCUGACAUAAACUCGAACGUGGUGUGUCUAUCAAAGUGAAAACCAAAGAAGAAACAGCAUUGCAUGUAAAAAAAUGUGAUCGACGUAAGUGGACGAUCGGUUGAGUGCGAAAAACUGAAUAAUCGCGUCAGUGAUUUAAAAAUAGCGAUAAUGAACUUUGAGAAAAUUAAUUCGAUGAAUGUAUCCAUCAGGCCGGUAGCCGAGGGAAUUAAUACCGGUCGUGAACAAUAUACAGAUAUAUGUAUAGAUAUAAAGAAACUAUGAACCGUUGCUAUAUUUGUAUAUAAAUUGGGACACGCCGUGAAAAGGUUUUUAAAUUUAGAAAUCUUUCAAUUCUAUUGACUGCUGAGUGCGAGCGAUGUUCAAACCUUGAAUUUAAUUCAUCUACUCUUGUUUCAUAAUCUUAUUAUAUUCACAUUUACGUUGUCGUGUACUCACGCCAUUGUACGCCAUCGACAGACAGUGAAGAAGAUACGAAUUCAAGUUGAAUCACAAUAUUCGGGUGAAAAAUUUAUUUGUCACUGUGUGCGUACCUUGGUGUAAAUAAUUGUACGGCGAGGAGGUAUGCAUGCAUCUCGAAUAUUGCGUGACUGAAAAGCGCCGUGUGAUGAAUAAGAUAUGUUGAAUAAUUAGGGGGAAAUAUAAAGAGACUUGCAUUAUGUUUUUAACUGCCUGGUAAAUGUUUUUCUCAUUGAGAAUUCAAAGUUUUUCAUUUGAACUUGCAUUCAUCCUAGGGUAAAUAAUAUUUUUGUUAUUGAAUUUAUUCGAUUAUGUGAAUCACAAUCGAGUGAAUGGAGUGAUUCGAUUUAGGAGAAAAAUAGGAUUUGUAUUUUAUUGUAUAGCUGUUGAUCGUCAUGUUAUCAAUUAACUUCAUCCGUGUUUGCACGUCGCAUGGUUGCACGCAGAUAAACAACGGCAAACUAAGAAGGAAAAUUUGUUGAAGAAAAAAAUACGAAUUCGCUCAUCACCUCAUGUCAACUUGUUUUAAUUCAACUUGAUUCAGUAUAAUUUCGGAAGCCUAGACUAUUUGCUGGGGUUCACAUCACCGUAGGCAGCAUUUGAAUUAAAAAGAACAUUCGAAACGAUCGUGAGAGCGAUGGAAGUAUCUUAUCAUAUCUAUAAUGUGCUUAACUAAAAUUAGAAGGAAAUAAAAAGAAAAUAAACGAAACAACCAUAAAUUGAAAAAAAAAAUUAAAACAACAAAACAAGGAGGAUUUUUUACUCAUGAAAACAAAUAAAUACUGAAUUUUAGAGUCGUAAAGAAUAACCGAGGAUUAUAAAAAAAAAUAUAACAAUUGAUGAAACAUUGUAAGUACUGUGAAAAAGACAAGCUGAAAAACCAAAAAUUAAAAAAAAAUAACGACUUAACGAGUAAGCUGAAAUUUCUAAGUAAAACUUUUUGCAAAGUGUGAGUGGGCGAACUAUAGUCACAGGGGGUCAAAUAAAUGGAUAAAACAACUACAAGUAACAAGAGAGAAUAACAAACACUGUAAUAGCGUGAACAAAAUUGGAGAAUGGAUAAAUAUACGAGACUAUCGAUAAUGUAAAAUGUUCAGUUUGUAAUCCGCCAUAUUGCGCGUCUAUUCUACUCCCUGAAAUCAAUCACCAAGCUCUAUGAUUUUUCAUUAACCCUGCAUUAAUUUCAAUGAUUCAUGACAAUUUUUGAUGCUAUCGAACAUCACCAGGGAAUAGAAAGACGCGGACUGUUACGCGCUUUGAAAAAAAAAACAUAAAAUAUUGCAUAUCCUAUUCAGACGUAGAUCUUUGAUAACUUACUAAAAAAAAACAAAAAAAUAAAAAACUAACGAAUGAAAGAAGCAACACCGAGAAAAUACUUUAGACUUGACAGACGGGAAUGUUUGAAUUUUUUCUUAGACUUUUCUACGAAAGAGUGUGUCGUGUAUUCGUGAGAGUACUACCGGUCGAGAUUUAAGGGGAUAAAAAGGAUUAGUGAGAGUCAUUAGUGAUGAUUUGUUUGAGUUGAGUGGGAGGGGGGAGGGAGGGGCGAAUUUCUAAUGCAAAAUUUCAAACAACAAUCCAUUGGGCACAUCCAAAUGUUGCACAUACCAUUAAAGAUUGCACCGUGUCGUUGAAUAUUGUAAUAAAAGUUGAAGCGAUGAAAAACGAUCGUGAGGAUGAUGAUGAGUGAAUUACAAUGAAACAAAUCAUUUGAGAGUGUGCUGUGCUUCGUUGAUACCCGCAAAGUGGCAUAGCAAGAGUUAAAAUCAAGUUAAUCAGAUAAAUCGAUGGAAAAAAAACUGAAAAAUGAAUCAAUACCAAAAUCGUUUGAAUUACGUCUUCUUUUGACCCGCUGUGAGUGACAGAAAGACUGCCUCUUUUGCCAUUGAAAAUUCAUUUUCACUAAACUUGAAAAAAAAAAUAAACGAAGAAACGAAAAAUUGAUACAUAUUAUUUACGUUAAUCAUUUGAGAAAGUAUAUGAAAACUGAUUCCUACCCUUGCCUUGCCGAUUUGUAAAUAGGCGUGCUCAAUUCGAUAGCUCGGCGGUGAAUCAUGGAUACAUUUAAUCUUAAUAACGAAUCGUAAAUUUCAACAAAAAUAAUAAAUGAAAGAAUAAAAAAAAAUUAAUAUCCGACUUUGUACCUAUAUACUAAUUAAACUUAACAAAGCGAAAAAAAAAAAACUUACGAUUAAAAAUAUCUGGAUUGCACACGAAUGCUUAUUUCGAUGACAUUGAAUGAUCAUUUUGGGGGAAACUGAAGCAUUGAGAACCAAAUAACAUCAGCAAUUUAAACAAUUAUAUCAUCCAAGCGCAAUGGGGUACCACUUUUGUCAAAUUUAACGAGCCAACUUAGGGUUUUAAAAGAAUUGAUGAGUAAUGAGGUGUGACACAGGAACAAAUGGAAAAUUACGAAGUGCGGAUUAACGACAAUGCCAACAAUUUAUUAAUUAUCAAAUUAAUUAACGACUACCUUGUAGAGUCGAGUCCAAAAAAAACAUGUAGGAUAAGUUAUCUUGUAUCUUGUAUUUAAUGUCACGACUGAUUCGUGCGGGGAGACACUCAAUGAAUAAUUUCAGAAGAGAGAAAUUUCAUACGCACGAGUCGGUCGUAAAAUGGUGAUCCUUACCUUUACUAACAAAACACGAUAAAAGCAAGAAAAAAAACAAUUAACGAUGAGGUGAAAAUUACUACUCGAGUUUAGACGAAAUAAUCGGGACAGGCUUCGUACAUUUCUAAUUUGUCAAUGGUGAUAUAAAACAAAAUGUGAAAUACGACCGUGUACUUAUUGUUUCCCUUGAGAGCGCGUGGUAUGUGAGAAUGUAAAAUUAAACAAAAUAAAUCUCUCAGAGUGAAAUGAAAAAAAAAAAUCCGAAAAACCAAGAACGAAACCUAAGCAAAUACGAUUAGAAAAAAAAAACGUUUUCUCGAAGAGUCUCCACGAAUUUCCGUCAUUCGGCGUCUGAGUCUACUGAUUUACGACUAAAAAGUGAUUUCUCGGAAACUAUAUAAAAAAUUAUAUUAUAGGGAACAAGACGUUUGUCGAAGACUGUACAUAUUGCAUGAGCGAUCAGCCCAAAAAUGAGAAAUCAAUUUUUAUGAUACCAUUAGAAAUUAUUUGGGGGGAUGGAUUUUCGUGGGGGCUGGUUGGGGAAUAAUUAAUAUAAAGCGUUAGUGACUGUAUCCAGUAUAAUAUACCAGGUAAAAAAGAUACCCCCAAUGCCAGACAUGGCGUGUGACAAUAAAGUGAUUCAAUGAUA
Molecule: RNA transcript, 12121 nt
Organism: Diachasma alloeum
Lineage: Eukaryota; Metazoa; Arthropoda; Insecta; Hymenoptera; Braconidae
Gene: Rim
Gene name: regulating synaptic membrane exocytosis protein 2
Exons: 24
Source: RefSeq, a predicted model, not a curated record